CGGCACGCGGGGUACAUCGACGCGCGACCCACACACUGGCCGCCGGGGCCGCGCCGAGUCACUGGCGAACCCGACCCGCCCGGAG
This 85-nucleotide non-coding RNA is filed under the name Chloroflexota bacterium. Its description in RNAcentral is "Chloroflexi bacterium c-di-GMP sequence". It matches the Rfam family "c-di-GMP-II-GAG riboswitch aptamer". Lineage: Bacteria; Bacillati; Chloroflexota. The record is from RNAcentral.